Triticum urartu is the source of this 2424-nucleotide non-coding RNA. NCBI's taxonomy places the organism in Eukaryota, Viridiplantae, Streptophyta, Magnoliopsida, Poales, Poaceae. The record is from RefSeq and is a predicted model, not a curated record.
CCAUAUCAUGUGAAAUAUAGCUCAAAUUCUGAUAUGUCACCUCUGUUUUCCCUUUCUGUCUUUGAAGUGAUACACUGUAUUGGUGAAAAUUGACAAAUGUUGAUAAAAUCAGUGAAUACUUUUUGGUGAUUGGAUGAGAAUUGUUGUUAAAAACAGUGGGGACUGUUGAUUGGAUGGCAAUUGUUGAUGACAUGAUAUUUUUGAAGUUGAUCUGGUUAGGGGGAGCUGCAUAUGUCAUGCCACACAAGAGUAUUUUUCUUGUUUUAGCAAGAGAAACCACUGGAUAUUACUUAGAUUUUUAGUAACUGGUUAUACCAGCUAGCCUUCUGUUCUGCUGUUUGUCAAGCAUUGGGGAAUAUACAUCCAUAUUUGUCAUUUAUGAUAUUUUCUUUAUGUAUAUCACAUAAAUUCUAUCACUCUAGUAAAGACACAUCUCCACUUAUGUUUUCCAGUGUAAGAUGAAAGAUUGGGUAGAUCCUAUUAUACAAUUUGAACCUUAGUAUCUAUUGCAUAGUUUAAAAUAUUCAUAUAUACCUAUGUUUAAUGUACAAGAGCAUAUGGAAAUUACAAACUGAUCGAUUUUGCUUUCAUUACUAUGAGUGGUAGCUCAGCUUUGAGAAUGUUGCAGGGCAGAGUGUUUCUCUUAGGAAAAAAGGUUGUUGUGGCAAAGAAAGGGAAAGGGAAAAAGAAGGGCAAAGACAGUGAAAAAGCAACUGAAGGUCCUGAAAAACAGAAGCGUAAAAGAGCGCCUAACAAGAAAUCAGGUAACGUCGCACGUAAACCUGAGAAGAAGCCUGAGGAUUGUUUCAAAAAGAAGUCAAUAUUCUUUGAUUUGGAAUACUGGGAGUACAACAAGUUAAGGCAAAAUCUAGAUGUAAUGCAUAUUGAGAAAAAACAUCUGUCAAAAUUUAAUUGGAACCUUAUUGGAUAUUGAUUCUAAAACAAAGGAUGGCCUUAAUGCACGACUUGACUUGGGAGAAAUUAGAAUUCGAUCUAGCCUUCAACCUGAUGAAGGUGAUAAGGAUAAAACUAAAUUGCCGCAUGCACCUUUUAAUAUGUAUAAAGAAAAGAAGGAGAUUCUUUGUACAGUGAUUAAGAAUUGUAGGACACCUGAUGGUUAUGCAUCAAACUUUUCGAGGUGUGUGAACAUGAAAGAAUUAACAUUGACUGGCCACAAAAUCCACGACUGUCAUGUUAUUCUAGAAGACAUCCUUCCUGUGGCACUUUUAAACUGUUAUCCCAGUAAAGAUGUCAUGAUAAUAGUUCUUGAGCUGGCUAAUUUCUUCAAGAAGCUAUGCUCCAAAGUGUUAGAUGUCUCUGAGCUUGACAAACUGCAAGAGAGUAUUGUGAAGACACUUUGUAAUAUGGAAAAAGUUUUUCUUCCAUCGUUUUUUACUGUCAUGGUACAUUUGAUGGUGCAUUUAGUUGAAGAAGCUAAACUUGGUGGCCCGGUGCAUUACAGGUGGAUGUACCCUCUAAAGAGCCCCUUUUUCUACUAGUGAGUGUUGGUGAGCCAAUUGGAAAGGCUGUCACUGUAGGCCAGUUGGACGAUCAGCUUCUAGUUCAAGCACAUCGAUAUGUCUUGCGACACUGUGAUGAGCUUGAUGAUCUCCGUAGAGAAUUUGUGGAUCAAGAGAAGAGGAAGCCGGGUAACAUAAAUUUCACGGAUGAUGACAAUGAGGAUUUGAUUAGUAGACACUUUGCUGACUGGUUGGAACAAAAGGUUAUACUAGAUGAUGGACUGGAUAUUACAGAAAAGAUAAGAGCAUUAGCCGCAAAACCAAGCAAAUGCGGGGUGCGCUAUAGUGGCUAUAUAAUUAAUGGCUUCUAGUUUCAUAAUAUCAGUCACGAGACAGGACACGUGACACAAAAUAGUGGUGUCAUGAACCUUGCUGAAAAUGGUGUCCUAUUAUGGCCGGUUAUCUGACAUCUUCGAAUUGUCAUACAGAGAUUACAAGGUGGUGCUCUUGAAAUGUGAUUGGUAUGAUGUUCAUCACAAAGUUGGUAUUUGAGAGAUGAGUUUGGAUUCACUCAUGUGAACCUUCUCCCGCAAAGUACAUACAUGGGAGAAGUUAGAGGAUGAUCCUUUUGUAUUUUCUUCCCAAGUGGACCAGGUAUUUUAUAUCCAACAUCCGAGAAGUGAGAAUUGGAAUACCAUGGUGAAAUUCGAACCUCGUGAUAUUUUUGACAUGGGUGGAGAACCAUCUUCUGAUGAAACAGAUUAGUCUUUGUGCUUUCAGCUUGUUAUCGGCAACUAAGAUAUAGGUUGAGCACUUGUCAUCCAUGCUCCUAGGUAGAGUUGCUCCAAUAUAACUAUUCCAGCUGGGCGGAUCUUCUUCAGAAUAUAUUGUUCCCUGUGUUACUCUGUAAUGAACGAGUCCAUGGUCUUUUUAAAUGCAUAUUUUCCCUUUUGUUAUGAAUGAA